RNAcentral lists this ribosomal RNA (315 nucleotides) under Mycobacterium tuberculosis. RNAcentral describes it as "bacterial LSU rRNA". It matches the Rfam family "Bacterial large subunit ribosomal RNA", at positions 1638 to 1949 of the family's 2925-position model. The record is from RNAcentral. Lineage: Bacteria; Bacillati; Actinomycetota; Actinomycetes; Mycobacteriales; Mycobacteriaceae.
ACGACCGUACCGCAAACCGACACUGGUGCGCGAGAUGAGUAUUCUAAGGCGCUUGAGAGAACUCAGGAGAAGGAACUCGGCAAAUUGACACCGUAACUUCGGAAGAAGGUGUGCCCUAUUAGUGUGAAGUGAACAACGGAGCAUGAAUGGGUUGCAAAAAAUCGGUGGCUGCGACUGUUUAUUAAAAACACAGCACUCUGCAAACACGAAAGUGGACGUAUAGGGUGUGACGCCUGCCCGGUGCUGGAAGAUUAAAUGAUGGGGUGCAAGCUCUUGAUUGAAGUCCCAGUAAACGGCGGCCGUAACUAUAACGGU